GAUGAACGCUAGCUACAGGCUUAACACAUGCAAGUCGAGGGGUAACGAGAGGAAAGCUUGCUUUCCUUGUCGACGACCGGCGCACGGGUGAGUAACGCGUAUCCAACCUGCCCCAACUAGGGAAUAACCUUGCGAAAGUAAGACUAAUACCCUAUAAUUUCCUCAGAUGUCAUCUGACGAGGAAUAAAGAUUUAUCGGUUGUGGAUGGGGAUGCGUCUGAUUAGCUUGUUGGCGGGGUAACGGCCCACCAAGGCAACGAUCAGUAGGGGCUCUGAGAGGAAGGUCCCCACAUUGGAACUGAGACACGGUCCAAACUCCUACGGGAGGCAGCAGUGAGGAAUAUUGGUCAAUGGGCGGAAGCCUGAACCAGCCAAGUAGCGUGCAGGAUGACGGCCCUAUGGGUUGUAAACUGCUUUUAUACAGGAAUAAAGUUAGCCACGUGUGGUUAUUUGUAGGUACUGUAUGAAUAAGGACCGGCUAAUUCCGUGCCAGCCGCCGCCGUAA
RNAcentral lists this ribosomal RNA (504 nucleotides) under uncultured bacterium. RNAcentral describes it as "partial 16S ribosomal RNA". It matches the Rfam family "Bacterial small subunit ribosomal RNA", at positions 28 to 523 of the family's 1533-position model. The record is from RNAcentral.